Molecule: ribosomal RNA, 500 nt
Filed under: uncultured bacterium
Lineage: Bacteria
Description: partial 16S ribosomal RNA
Rfam family: Bacterial small subunit ribosomal RNA
Source: RNAcentral
AUUGAACGCUGGCGGCAUGCCUUACACAUGCAAGUCGAACGGCAGCACGGGAGCAAUCCUGGUGGCGAGCGGCGAACGGGUGAGUAAUAUAUCGGAACGUGCCCAGUCGUGGGGGAUAACGCAGCGAAAGCUGUGCUAAUACCGCAUACGAUCUAAGGAUGAAAGCGGGGGAUCGCAAGACCUCGCGCGGUUGGAGCGGCCGAUAUCAGAUUAGCUAGUUGGUGGGGUAAAGGCCCACCAAGGCGGCGAUCUGUAGCUGGUCUGAGAGGACGACCAGCCACACUGGAACUGAGACACGGUCCAGACUCCUACGGGAGGCAGCAGUGGGGAAUUUUGGACAAUGGGCGCAAGCCUGAUCCAGCAAUGCCGCGUGCAGGAUGAAGGCCUUCGGGUUGUAAACUGCUUUUGUACGGAACGAAACGGCCCUUUCUAAUACAGGGGGCUAAUGACGGUACCGUAAGAAUAAGCACCGGCUAACUACGUGCCAGCCGCCGCGGUAA